This 493-nucleotide ribosomal RNA is filed under the name Ligia hawaiensis. RNAcentral's name for it is "partial 12S ribosomal RNA". Lineage: Eukaryota; Metazoa; Arthropoda; Malacostraca; Isopoda; Ligiidae. The record is from RNAcentral. RNAcentral also lists the same sequence under 1 other name.
UUUGAGCUAAGAAUCUAAAUAAAGCAAGAAAAUUACCACUAAAUAUUUUAGCUUUAGGUAAAAUUUAAACCUAAAUUUAUUUAUAGAGUCAAAUUUCAAAUCUUAAGAGAUAAACAAGGAUUAGAUACCCUUCUAUACUUAAGACUUUUGAGCAGGGUAGUAACUAGUUAUGUUCUUCAAACCCAAAGGAUUUGGCGGUGUUCUAUAUAAUUAGAGGAGCCUGUGGAAUAAUCGAAACUACGCGCUAUAUCUUACCAAAGCUAAGCUUGUAUACCGUCGUCUAGGCAAUUCUAAAAAGACUUACCUAACUGAGAUAUACCUAUGGCAGAUCAAGGUGCAGCUUGCUUUGGUUACUAUAGGCUACAAUCUAGAUAUAGCUAGAAGAGGAAAGUAAGGUAACCUCUGAAAUAGGAUUUAAUAGUAAUUUAAGUUUAAUACACUAAAAUAAAAUUUCCAUAGAGCAUGUACAUAUCGCCCGUCACUCUCAUAUUCU